UAAUCCCCCGAUUCUAUGGUACUCAACAUAGACAUCUUAGACGGAGCAUUGGCUGCUGGGACGCGAGAAAUACGGCCGCCAUCUUGGAGUGGUCAACCGGGAGCAGCAACCAUAGACGGCAACAGCAGCAGAAACAAGAUGCCGGGCUGUUGUACAGCAUAUUCAUGCUCAAAUCGGCGGACCAUCCUUAAUAGGAAUCGGGGGAUUACUUUUCACAAGUAAGAUUUAACAUUACCGUACUAUUGGUUUUAUUUUGUGAAAGGAAUAUUACCAGCAUUUUUGUCUUCGAUAGUACCACUGAAAUCGUAGCCAGCUAGGCUAAUAAACAAGAGUAUGACCAUAAUAUGAUUGCUUGUCAAUGAAAUGAAAGAAAUACUUGAAUAAAUAAAUGAUGAAGAUAAAGAUUGUAAAAGACAAUAGGGAUAAAAGUUAGUUAUGCAUGCUGCCAAUAAAAUUACAGACAAGCAUGUCUACUUUGAGAACCACAAGAUGAGGGUGACCCUGGCUGCACAGACACUGAGUCGCUCCGUGUCAGUGGCUCUCCGCACAAUGAGGGAUCUUUGCUACUCUCAGUUCAAGGACUGCGAGGCAACGGCAGAAUUCAUUGAGGUAAUACAAUUAGUGAUUUAAAGAACCCAGUACCUGUUUCUUCUUUUUAAACUAGUGCAUGCCCGUCCAUCCAUCGAAGUGGUAAAGCUCUGAAAUUUCCUGUAGUACAAAGCAGACUUAUGGAAAGAAGGAAGUCAAGCAAAUACUAAUACUUGCAUUUUUACUUGCAUGUUGAACAUACAGUUUAGAAAUAUGUACCUAAUACCUUAUGAUUUAGAUGCCGCUAUGUCUUUAUAGAUUAUUGACAGGCUGUUUGAUACAAUGAAUGGACGCAAUCCUCGUGCCAAAGGAUACAAAGCUCCCUUGGGUGCUUUUAAUUGGACGGAGAGGAAAGCAUUUUUCUCAAAAGCUAGGGAGUACUUGCUCACUUUGGUGACAAAAGAUGGAACCCCCCUUCACCGGUCUAAGAGGUCAAUUAAAAUAGUGUUUGUUAAGUUCAUGACAUGAGUUCUCCGAUACUCUUAUUUCCUUAUUCAUCGUGUUCCUAAGAUGCUCCGUUGUUCCCUUAUGCAUCGUGUUCCUAAGAUGCUCCGUUGUUCCCUAUAGGGUGUCUUGUUUCGCCAUGAUCAGAGUAAUACAACUUUUUUCUUUUUCAGGUACUUGUCGGUCAUCGGAUUUGUCAUCAAUAUCGACACGUUGAUGCUGAUGAUUCCUGAACUGCUCCAGGUUCAGCGGUAUGUGCUCACCUACAGGUUCAGCCAGGAUCACUUGGAGCUCCUAUUUAACUCAAUCUCAGUCAGGCGGAUGUAAUAAUAAUCCCACGGCAUGCCAGUUCCAGGCCAUCUUCCGUCGUCUGAUGGUUCGGUGUGGUGUCUCACCUAGUGAGACAGGCAAUGUGGCAGCCCAUGAUAACACUGUGUCCCUGUCUGCUGUGGAGAUGUCCUCUGCUGAAACUGCAGAGGACAUCUCCACAGCAGACAGGGACACAGUGCCGACGAUGGCAUAGCGGCAUACAUACAUGUCUUUAUAGAUUAUUGACAGGCUGUUUGUUACAAUGAAUGGACGCAAUCCUCGUGCCAAAGGAUACAAAGCUCCCUUGGUUGCUUUUAAUUGGACGGAGAGGAAAGCAUUUUUCUCAAAAGCUAGGGAGUACUUGCUCACUUUGGUGACCAAAGAUGUAACCCCCCUUCACCGGUCUAAGAGGUCAAUUCAAAUAGUGUUUGUUAAGUUCAUGCCAUGAGUUCUCCGAUACUCUUAUUUCCUUAUGCAUCGUGUUCCUAAGAUGCUCCGUUGUUCUGUUAUGCAUCGUGUUCCUAAGAUGCUCCGUUGUUCCCUUAUGCAUCGUGUUCCUAAGAUGCUCCGUUGUUCCCUUAUGUUAGUUCUGUUCUGAUCAUUUUCCGUGUAUUUAUCUAUAUUAUUUACUGUAAAUAAACAUUCCAUCAGCA
Long non-coding RNA from Gadus morhua (Atlantic cod), 1994 nucleotides. RefSeq lists it as uncharacterized. NCBI's taxonomy places the organism in Eukaryota, Metazoa, Chordata, Actinopteri, Gadiformes, Gadidae. The transcript has 2 exons. The record is from RefSeq and is a predicted model, not a curated record.